GACGAACGCUGGCGGCGUGCCUAAUACAUGCAAGUAGAACGCACAGUUUAUACCGUAGCUUGCUACACCAUAGACUGUGAGUUGCGAACGGGUGAGUAACGCGUAGGUAACCUGCCUGGUAGCGGGGGAUAACUAUUGGAAACGAUAGCUAAUACCGCAUAAUAUUAAUUAUUGCAUGAUAAUUGAUUGAAAGAUGCAACUGCAUCACUACCAGAUGGACCUGCGUUGAAUUAGCUAGUAGGUGAGGUAACGGCUCACCUAGGCGACGAUACAUAGCCGACCUGAGAGGGUGAGCGGCCACACUGGGACUGGGACACGGCCCCGGCUCCUACGGGAGGCAGCAGUAGGGGAGCUUCGGCAAUGGACGAAAGUCUGACCGAGCAACGCCGCGUGAGUGAAGAAGGUUUUCGGAUCGUAAAGCUCUGUUGUAAGAGAAGAACGGGUGUGAGAGUGGAAAGUUCACACUGUGACGGUAUCUUACCAGAAAGGGACGGCUAACUACGUG
This 505-nucleotide ribosomal RNA is filed under the name uncultured bacterium. RNAcentral's name for it is "partial 16S ribosomal RNA". It matches the Rfam family "Bacterial small subunit ribosomal RNA", at positions 28 to 507 of the family's 1533-position model. The record is from RNAcentral.